Molecule: ribosomal RNA, 472 nt
Filed under: uncultured soil bacterium
Lineage: Bacteria
Description: bacterial SSU rRNA
Rfam family: Bacterial small subunit ribosomal RNA
Source: RNAcentral
AGGACGAACGCUGGCGGCGUGCUUAACACAUGCAAGUCGAGCGGUAAGGCCUUUCGGGGUACACGAGCGGCGAACGGGCGAGUAACACGUGGGUGAUCUGCCCUGCACUUCGGGAUAAGCCUGGGAAACUGGGUCUAAUACCGGAUAUGACCUCCUAUCGCAUGGUGGGUGGUGGAAAGAUUUAUCGGUGCAGGAUGGGCCCGCGGCCUAUCAGCUUGUUGGUGGGGUAAUGGCCUACCAAGGCGACGACGGGUAGCCGACCUGAGAGGGUGACCGGCCACACUGGGACUGAGACACGGCCCAGACUCCUACGGGAGGCAGCAGUGGGGAAUAUGCACAAUGGGCGAAAGCCUGAUGCAGCGACGCCGCGUGAGGAUGACGGCCUUCGGGUUGUAAACCGUCUUUCAGCAGGACGAAGCGCAAGUGACGUACUGCAGAAGAAGCACCGGCUAACUACGUGCCGAGCAGCCGC